This 430-nucleotide ribosomal RNA is filed under the name Brevundimonas sp. RNAcentral's name for it is "bacterial SSU rRNA". It matches the Rfam family "Bacterial small subunit ribosomal RNA", at positions 1 to 459 of the family's 1533-position model. The record is from RNAcentral. Lineage: Bacteria; Pseudomonadati; Pseudomonadota; Alphaproteobacteria; Caulobacterales; Caulobacteraceae.
CAACCUGAGAGUUUGAUCCUGGCUCAGAGCGAACGCUGGCGGCAGGCCUAACACAUGCAAGUCGAACGAACUCUUCGGAGUUAGUGGCGGACGGGUGAGUAACACGUGGGAACGUGCCUUUUGGUUCGGAAUAACUCAGGGAAACUUGUGCUAAUACCGAAUGUGCCCUUCGGGGGAAAGAUUUAUCGCCAUUAGAGCGGCCCGCGUCUGAUUAGCUAGUUGGUGGGGUAAUGGCCCACCAAGGCUACGAUCAGUAGCUGGUCUGAGAGGAUGACCAGCCACAUUGGGACUGAGACACGGCCCAAACUCCUACGGGAGGCAGCAGUGGGGAAUCUUGCGCAAUGGGCGAAAGCCUGACGCAGCCAUGCCGCGUGUAUGAUGAAGGUCUUAGGAUUGUAAAAUACUUUCACCGGUGAAGAUAAUGACUGUA